AUACCUCCCGCAAACGAAGUUUGGGGGGGUAAAUACGAAUCACCUUGUCCGUCUGUCCGUCCGUCCGUCUGUCUGUGCAAUCAUGUCCGGUCCAUAUCUUUCUUACAGAGGGACAUUAGAAUGUACUACUACACAGUAAGAUUGCUCAUGACCUAAGAGUUUGUCAUGACCUUGACCCAAGGUCAUUUGGGAAAGUUCAAGGACACUGGAAGAAAAAUUUCAUAAUUCAUGUCGGGUCCAUAUCUUUCUUAUGGAUAAACUUGGUAGGUUCUCAUUUUACACAAAGAUUGCCCAUGACCCAAGGGUGUGUCAUGACCUAGACCCAAUGUCAUUUGAGAAAGUUCAAGGUCAAUGGAAGAAAAAUAUCAUAAUUCGUGUCCGGUCCAUAUCUUUCUUAUGGAUAAACUUGGUAUGUUCUCAUUUCACACAAAGAUUGUCCAUGACCCAAGGAUGUGUCAUGACCUUGACCCAAGGUCAUUUGGGAAAGUUCAAGGUCACUGGAAGAAAAUUUUCAUAAUUUGUGUCCGGUCCAUAUCUUUCUUAUGGAUAAACUUGGUAGGUUCUCAUUUCAAACAAAGAUUGCCCAUGACCCAAGGGUGUGUCAUGACCUUGACCCAAGGUCAUUUUGGGAAAUUGAAGGUCACUGGAAGAAAAUAAACAAUAAACUUUACUGAAGCAAAUAAAGUAUAAAAUUUGGACCUCCUCCCUAAAACUUAAAAAACAUUGACGGAUUUGACCCCACUAUCAUUGUUUUUAUUAUUUUCAUUUGUUUUCAUUUUUUUUCUCCUGUUUGUCAGGAAAUUGUGGGCUGGAUUUUUUUUACUGAGAUGUGAACCCCCCUCCCCAGUACUGAAAAAAAAUUCUGGAUCUGCAUCAGUAUUGGCAGUAACUGAAUGUCACAUCGACAACGGCAGAUAACUUCACUAUAUGAAAUUUGUCUAGUGUAGCAGCGAUGAUCUUUGACCCUUUUUGAACUUUAACCUAUAAUCAUUUGAAUUUAUUUUACCCCCACUAUACUUAAACUUGUACUUACUGACUGUCAUACUGGUCUCGUCAACUCCAUGAAAUAUAAUCCAAUUAUAACACAAAAUGAAUUAAUCCAAUACACACCAGACUGCAGCAUGUGCUUAUGCUAUCCCAUUCGGCAAACCUUCAUCCAUUCAGUCACCUUAUUAGAUGAAGUGGGAAUCGACAGAGGUAGGCCGAAUGGUGUUUAAUCUAAAAAUAUGAUAAUGGAUGAUGCAACCCAAUGUAAUGUAG
Molecule: long non-coding RNA, 1260 nt
Organism: Saccostrea echinata
Lineage: Eukaryota; Metazoa; Mollusca; Bivalvia; Ostreida; Ostreidae
Exons: 3
Source: RefSeq, a predicted model, not a curated record